GAUGAACGCUGGCGGUGUGCCUAAUACAUGCAAGUCGAGCGAACAGACGAGGAGCUUACUCCUCUGACGUUAGCGGCGGACGGGAGAGUAACACGUGGAUAACCUACCUAUACGACUGGGAUAACUUCGGGAAACCGGAGCUAAUACCGGAUAACAUGUUGAACCGAAUGGUUCAACCGUUAAAGACGGUCUUGCUGUAACUUAUAGCUGGAUCCGCGUCGCAUUAGCUAGUUGGUAAGGUAACGGCUUACCAAGGCAACGAGGCUUAGCCGACCCGAGGGGGUGGUCGGCCACACUGGAAGUGAGACACGGUCCCUACACCGACGGGAGGCAACAGUAGGGAAUCUUCCGCAAUGCGCGAAAGCCUGACAGUGCAACGCCGCGUAAGUGAAGAAGGUCUUCGGAUCGUAAAACUCUGUUAGUAGGGAAGAACAAAUGUGUAAGUAACUAUGCACGUCUUGACGGUACCGAAUCAGAAAGCCACGGCUAACUACGUG
RNAcentral lists this ribosomal RNA (497 nucleotides) under uncultured bacterium. RNAcentral describes it as "partial 16S ribosomal RNA". It matches the Rfam family "Bacterial small subunit ribosomal RNA", at positions 28 to 507 of the family's 1533-position model. The record is from RNAcentral.